This 787-nucleotide long non-coding RNA is filed under the name Marmota monax (woodchuck). The record is from RNAcentral. Lineage: Eukaryota; Metazoa; Chordata; Mammalia; Rodentia; Sciuridae.
CACCCAUGGACCAGCUUUUAGCCCCACCCAAGUAUAAGGAUGAAACCUGUGGCCUUAGGUACUAGGCUGAUACCUGUAGAUCCAUAUCUCUAGGUCAGCCUCUGUGUACACAGGCUGCAUGCCUUCUUAGUGGCAGGCCAGCUCUGUGCCUAACCACACCAUUAGACCCACUGUAGUUGACCCCACCACUAGGAGCUCCUGUGGGCCCAGACUCCAAGACGUACCUUUGCAUUUCUAGGUUUCAGUUUUGCCUUGUCAGCUAAAGACCCAGGCCCAUCACAGUGCCAGCUCAACCUCUAUGAACCCAGUUCUUGUAUCAGUUCCUGUGCCUGGCCAGGGCCUUAUAGACACAAGCUCAAGACCUGCCACAGUGAACAUAGCUAGUAGGUCCUUUACCAGUAUAUCCUGUUUUCAAGCUGGCCCUUUGAACCUCAGAACCAGGUCUAUCCUAGCAGAAUCAAGCUCUGAGUUUGCCCCAGUGGAUCUGGUCUCUAGGCUCAACACUGUAUACCCUGGCACUAGGCCUGUCCACCUGAUGGUCAGGUACCAGGUCAGUCUGCCAGAGGAUUUCUUAAAUAAAUCUACCUACAGACAAUAUACUUCCCAGAAUCUCUGGACAGGCUAAUCAGCGAUGUGUUUUCCCAAUUGAAAUCAGUGUGCCAAUAUUGGAAUAAGUCCUUAUCUUUUCAAAUAUGUGGACACCAAUGCAUAGCUAAGAAACUGAAUAAUCAGGAAAACAUGAUAUCACCAAAAGAAAAAAAUAAAGCACCAGCAACAAACUCUGAAG